UAACGUAACACCAUCUUGGAGAACCGGACUAAUACUCCUACCGAGACUAUCCAAGUAAAAUACGUCUCUCAUACCUGUCUCUGAGGGUGAGACAGGAAUACUAUAACUU
Molecule: non-coding RNA, 109 nt
Filed under: unclassified sequences
Description: PhotoRC-II RNA
Rfam family: PhotoRC-II RNA
Source: RNAcentral